CUUCACAUUGUUGGUGCAUU
RNAcentral lists this small nuclear RNA (20 nucleotides) under Arabidopsis thaliana (thale cress). Its description in RNAcentral is "snRNA_12502". Lineage: Eukaryota; Viridiplantae; Streptophyta; Magnoliopsida; Brassicales; Brassicaceae. The record is from RNAcentral.